This is a long non-coding RNA of Cryptomeria japonica (Japanese cedar), 416 nucleotides long. RefSeq lists it as uncharacterized. The transcript is spliced from 2 exons. The record is from RefSeq and is a predicted model, not a curated record. NCBI's taxonomy places the organism in Eukaryota, Viridiplantae, Streptophyta, Pinopsida, Cupressales, Cupressaceae.
UAGAAGGCGAAUCGAUCUGCAGUUUUCAGGGGUUACACGGAGAAGGGCGUAUAUGGGUUUCUUCUGCUAUUAUUGUUGCCCACACCUCCUUUUGCUUUUGCCUCUGCGUCUAGGUCUGGGUGUGAUGAUAAGUCUCAUCCACGUUACGACUACCACCCCGGGUACUGUGCAAAGUGGAGCGGUGGAUUUGAUGGGGCAUGCGUGGUGUGGAGGAAGGGUGAGUGCGACUCUGUAUGCAAAAACGUAGAUCAUCUAGAAUUUGGAGAGUGCCAUAACCCAUUCGGAAGUAUCAUGUGUUUUUGUUAUCAUAAAUGCUGAUAAAUAAGCUCUUCAUUUACUCCACUAAGUUCUGUGUUUCUUGUGUGGUGUGGUGGAAAGGAAAUUGCAUAGCCAAUAAAAUUAAAGAAUAGAAUUUA